RNAcentral lists this transfer RNA (63 nucleotides) under Microplitis incurvatus. Its description in RNAcentral is "tRNA-His". Lineage: Eukaryota; Metazoa; Arthropoda; Insecta; Hymenoptera; Braconidae. The record is from RNAcentral.
AUUUAGAUAGUUUAAUUAAAACAUUGAUUUGUGGAAUCAAAAUUAUUUUAAUAAUUUUAAAUU